This 4741-nucleotide long non-coding RNA is filed under the name Nicotiana tabacum (common tobacco). RNAcentral describes it as "long non-coding RNA (NTAB_LNC018146)". The record is from RNAcentral. Lineage: Eukaryota; Viridiplantae; Streptophyta; Magnoliopsida; Solanales; Solanaceae.
CACAAAUUUUUACCUCAUAACCUCUAUCCUCUCCUCUCUCCGAAUCCACUAACCAUUUCCUUCAAAUCUUUCAUGAAAUUAACGAUUUGUAGAUCUAAAACCCCUAGAAAAGCUUAAAUUUUCCCUUUUCCUGAUUUUCAAUCAAUUCGGCCAUGAUUACGGUUGAAAUUUACAUUAAUGGAAAUCUCUUAACAAGAGACACCAAUUGAUAUAAGAUUUGGUCCAUUUAUUAGUGGCCGAAUUUCGGUCUAUCGGCGUUUGACCGAUCGGAGCCAUCUAGAGAUCCUUUUGUCGCUUCAAUUGAUCACAUUAGGUAAUCUUUUCUUUUUUAUCUUUCUCUUCUUUACCUUCUUUAUCUCUUGUUGUUUAAAGGUGAACUAAAAUUAGCAGUUGCCAUGUUAGGUUUGAAUUGCGUCGUUUAGUUAUGAAGUUAUGAUUGACUGCUAAUCGCAUAUUUAAUUAGAUCAUUUGCAUAGUGAUUUGUCUUAUUGUUAAUUGGUGUUUAGUUGAAUUAUCAAUUUUGUCAUAGGUAGAUUUAGGUUUCCAGUCGGUUAAUUUUUGGAAAGAUUGGGUCUGUCUUAGUGAACAGACAGGCCUGCUAGUUGGUUUGGGGUUUUGAAUUGUAUUGGUGUUAGGCAUGUUGGUCGUAGGCCCAAGUUUGUGCUGGGGUAAAUGUAAAAGCAGAGUAGACUUAAAGGGGCUUUAAGGAAAUUAAAACAUAGUAGGAUCUUUUUUGUUACAGCUUAAAGUGACUUCUAGAAGAGAGAGAAAAACCAUUUAGCAAUAAAUAACGGGGAAGGUCAGGUAAAUAACUAAAGGAGGAUAGAGUAAAAAGAAAACAAAAUAACUGAAAUAGAUUCUCUGAUUUCUGCACACAAUACUCGAUAAAUUUUAUUUUGAGUAAGAUAUGCCAUAUAAUACUUGAGUGAGGGCAUUGAUUGCUUGCCAAAUGGCACCUGUGGGACCCGCAAUUAAUGAAAAACUAAAAGAAAUAUUCCAUCUCUCUCUUCAUUCACCAAACCGGUCCCAGUGCCCCCAAAACCCGCUCCUCUCUCUUUCUUCUUCUUCUUCUUCUUCUUCUUCCUCCUCCCAUCACCGUAUAGAAAAACAACCCAUCUACUAUUAUCUUUUUCAGUUUCAAAAAAUAUUUCAAGUUUCUAUGUAUUUCAGUCUUUAUAAAUAGUUUGAACACUGUAGAAAAUUAAACAAUGCUCAUGAUUCGAAACUUUUUCGAUAUUUUAAGUUUUCUAGACCUAACCCAUCAAUUUUGUUUAAUUGACCUGCCAUUGAUAUACAAAUUAAAAAUCAAUAAAAAAGUGAAAUAUUUUGUAUAUAUACACAAGAUUAGAGAGAAAUAUACACGUGCAAAAAAAAAGGUAACUUUUCACAUUAGUAGAUCGAUAAUUUUGGGAGGGACUAUAUUAAUUUUACUAAUAAUUGUUGAACCCAAUGAAUAAAAGACUCUUUCGUUCUUAAUACAGGGGACAAAGAUACAUGGAUGUUGUGUUUCAAAUUUUGAACAUAAAAGUUUCAUUAGUAGAUUGUGAAAUUGUGAAAAGAAUAUGAGGAGAUUUGACAGAGGGGGGUGUAUUGGGAGAAGAAGAAAGUGGAAGAGAGAGAAGCGGGGAGGGGUGAAAGGGUGGUGGAGGGACUGGGGAACGGUUUGGUGGAGAGAGAGAGGGAGUAUUUUUUUUAGUUUUUCAUUAAUUGCGGGUCCCACAGGUGCCAUUUGGCAAGCAAUCAAUGCUCUCACUUAAGUAUUACAUGUCAUAUCUCACUCAAAAUAAAAUUUCUCACAAUACUCAUUCACUUGGCAUUAACUUUCUGCAUUUUGACAGAUACACAUUUUAUUCUCUCAUUCGCUCUCAAUUUCUCACCUUCACACACCUCUUCUCACUCACACACGAAAAAGGCACUCCCAACUUAGCUACAAACAAAAUUCUGGAAUUUAAGUAUUGGAUUUCAUAUCUAAAAAAUAAAAGGUUUCAAAUUAGGAAGAGUAAAAUUAGAAUUUGAAAAGCAAGUUUGCAGUUCCUCUAGUUUUUGGUGUUAACAUUUUUUCUGGAUGGUUGAAGAGUUUGUUGUUGUUUCUCUUUCCUGUUGGCUUGAACAACAUCCUUUGUUUUCAGAACAUUAUUUGGUUGGUUCUCUGAUGUUUAUGCUAUUAGGUAUGUAAAUAUUCACACAUUUUUCUCUAUUUGAGCUUAUGUGAUGACUCGGUCAGUCAUCUCAUGAGUUACCGCUGCGUUUUUCCCAUUUCUACUUCUUUAUGCUUCGUUAUCCAUGUUUUAUGGUAUCGGGUUGGUCGGAUCGAAUCCGGAAUGAUUUUGGUAAGGUUUGAGACACUUAGUCUCUUUUGAGAAAGCUUAAGUGGAAAAGUCAACCGGAGGUUGACUUAUAUGUUAGAGGGCUCGAAUGUGAGUUUUGAUGGUUCGGUUAUCUUCGAGAGGUGAUUUAUGACUUAGAAGCAUGAUCGAAAUGGGUUUUGGAGGUUUGGAGUAGAUUUAGGCUUGAAUUGGCGAAGUUGAUAUUUUGGCGAUUUCCGGUUGGUAGGCAAGAUUUUGAUAUAGGGGUCGGAAUGGAAUUUUGAGGGUUGUAGUAGCUCCAUUGUGUUAUUUGGAUUGUGUGCAAAAUGUCAGGUCAUUCGGACGUGGUUUGGUUGGGUUUUUUAUCAAAAGCGGAAUUUGGAAGAUUAUAGAAAGUUAGGCUUGAAUCCGAUGUGUUUUGGUAGAUUUGAUGUUGUUGGAGGUGUUUUGAUGAUUGGAACAAGUUUGAAUAAGGUAUUGGGUUAUGUUUGUGCUUUGGGUCGAGGCCUCGGGGGCUUCGGGGUAAUUUCGGAUGGUUAACAGAGGAGUUGAGAUGUUAUUGCAGCUGCUGAAGUUUUGCUGCUUCUGGUGUUUUUGCACCUGCAGUUUAGGGAUCGUAGGUGCGGCGCCGCACGUGCGGAAGAGGAGCCGCGGAAGCGGAUUGUUGAGGACUUUCCAAGAACUGCAGAUGCGGUGUGGGAUCGCACCUGCGGAGUCGCAGGUGCGGAUGGCUUAUUGCGGAUACGAUUUUGGGAAUUUGGUAAGUGUCGUAGCUGCGGAAAGGUCUGGGCAAAACAUAUAAGUUAUUUCAUAUCGCGAAUUUGAGUUAUUUCACCAUUUUUGAGCUCCGACUUGGAGCUUCUUGGGCGAUUUGAGAGGGGGAUUUCUAGAGAACUUCAUUGAGGUAAGGAAUUUGGACCUAAAACUCGUUCCUAUGCUAUUAUUUCAUGAAUUAAAGCUAGAAAUUAUGGAAAUCAAAGGUUAAAAUUGGGGACACUAGGGCUUGAAAACUUAGGCCUUUAAUUGUGGAUUUGAAGGACCAUAUGGGGUCGGAUUUGAGAACUUUUGAUAUGUAUGAACUCGUGGGGAGAUUAGGAACCUAUUAAUGUAAAAAAUUUUGAAUUCCGAGACGUGGGCCCGGGGGUCGGGUUUUGGUAAUUUCGGAAUUAUGCCCUUUAUUGAUUAUUUUCGCUUGAGCUUCGUUCCCUUAGCAUAUUUUGAUGUCCUCGUUCCGAUUUUAGAUAGAUUCGACACGUGUGGAGGCCGAAUCGAGGGGAAAAGGCAUCGCGAGCUAGAGAUUUAGCCGGUUUGAGGUGAGUAAUGAUUGUAAAUGAUGUUCUGAGGGUUUGAAACCCUGGAUUUGCACACCGUAGUGUUAUAUUGAGGUGAGGCACACGCUUGAUGACGAGCAUGGGGUCAUGCACUAUUGAGGAUUGUGACUUGGUCCGUCCCAAUUGAUGAUUUUACCGCGUAUUUGAUUGAAAACUAUUUGCUAUCAUCAUUAUUUGGGUUGAUUGCCAUAUUUAGGCCUAGUGCCAACUAUUCGAUCCUUCGGGGAUUUUUAUUGAUAUCUUCCUUACUGUUUUGACCUUAUACUUGAACUCAGUCAUGAAUUUCCACUGUUUUACUACUCAACCAUAUUUACUCAAUUUUUAUGACUUAAAUGAUAUUUUAAAUGAUGUUUGGGCUGAGAAACACUAUUUUCUAUUUCCCGAGAGUCUUUUGAUGAUUUUGGACUGAGUAAGGUAGGGGCCUACAUUGCGAGGAAACACUGAUACUGAUUUGAGGCCGAGGGCCUAGAUUUGAUGACACGAGAUGGCUUGUUAUUGCGCUUGGGUCGUAAGGGGCCCCUCCAGGAGUCUGCACACCCCCAGUGAGCGCAGGUACCCAUUGUGAUGUGAGAUUGAGCCCGAGGGGCUGUUAUUGUUCUGAGAUGUUGCCCGAGGGGUGGAUUUGGUGAUACUGCGCCCUAGGGGCGAACUUCUAUUUGGUUGCUUUAUCUUAUUUACCUGUCAAUUACUUGUUUACUUGUUGAAAGAGGAUUUUACUUGACUUUCCACUGUUUUACUGCUUUAAAUGGUUUUACUGCUUCAUUAUAGAAUGCUUUGUGCCUUACGUGUUUUCUUACAUUCAGUCGUUAUUUAUAUUUGUUACUCACCGAGUUAGAGUACUCACUUUACUCCCUGCACCCUGUGUGCAGAUUCAACAUAGCUGGUUCCGCUCCCGAGUGUUGAUUCCUCCAGCUUCAGGCGGGCUUUUGGAGAUUACGAGGUAGUUGUUGACGUCCGCAGCCCCGUGUCUCUACUCCUUUAUUGCUUCUGUUCCUUUUCAGACUUUUGUACUAAUUCAUGGUUCUAGCGGGAUUGUAGUAUGACUUAUAGAUACUCAUGACUAGUGACACCCCGGUUAGGGCUGUGUAUGGGUAUUCUUCCGCG